AGUGAACGGCGGGGGCGUGCCUAAUACAUGCAAGUCGAACGGAAUUUAAAAGAGCUUGCUCUUUUAAAAUUAGUGGCGCACGGGUGAGUAAGAUAUAGAUAAUCUGCCCCGUGCUGGAGGACAACAGUUAGAAAGGACUGAUAAUACUCCAUACUCCUUUCUACCAUAAGAUAAAUCGGGAAAGAAUUUUGGCAAGGGAUGAGACUAUAUCGUAUAAGAUAGUCGGUGGGGUAACGGCCUACCGAGGGUAUGACGGGUAACUGGUGUGAGAGGAUGAUCAGUCACAUUGGAAGUGAGACACGGUCCAAGCUCCUACGGGAGGCAGCAGUAGGGAAUAUUGCGCAAUGGGGGAAACCCUGACGCAGCAACGCCGCGGGAGGAUGACACUUUUGGGAG
RNAcentral lists this ribosomal RNA (396 nucleotides) under Campylobacter sp. oral taxon G92. Its description in RNAcentral is "bacterial SSU rRNA". It matches the Rfam family "Bacterial small subunit ribosomal RNA", at positions 29 to 423 of the family's 1533-position model. The record is from RNAcentral. Lineage: Bacteria; Pseudomonadati; Campylobacterota; Epsilonproteobacteria; Campylobacterales; Campylobacteraceae.